CAAAGCACUUUGAAGAGAGAGUUAAAGAGGACGUGAAACCGAUGAGGUGGAAACGGACAGAGCUGGCGUAUCUGGUCUGCAUUCAGCCGUGCGUUUUCGGACGUGUGGGUUCCCGUCUCCAGACUGGGGCGGUGCCUGCACUGUUUGGAGGCCUGCGGUGCUUUUGCAGACGGAGUGCGCUGAGAUGCUCGGUGCAGCUGCAUGAGCUUGGCUUUGAGGCCAGCCCUUCGGGGUCUGGUACCCGGGCCAGGGGAGUGCUGUUUGUGUUGGGUGUACACUUGUGUGCAUUGGUUUCGGGCUCGUGUUGGACUGAGCUGGCGGUCGGUGGCGGUCGCUUGCGACACGUACCAGCAAUCAGUUCGGUCCAGCCUGGGCUCACAGUGCAUGUUCUCGGUGUAAAAGCCGGUCAUCUGUCCGACCCGUCUUGAAACACGGACCAAGGAGUUUAGCGUGUGCGCGAGUCAUUGGGAGUUGAAAACCCAAAGGCGUAAUGAAAGUGAAGGCCUCCUCACGGAGCUGAUGUGUGAUCCUGUGCACCUCGGUGUAUGGGCGCAACAUAGUCCCGUCCCGAUCGCAUGCGAUGGGGCGGAGACAGAGCGUACGCGCUGAGACCCGAAAGAUGGUGAACUAUUCCUGAGCAGGAUGAAGCCAGAGGAAACUCUGGUGGAAGUCCGAAGCGAUUCUGACGUGCAAAUCGAUCGUCUGACUUGGGUAUAGGGGCGAAAGACUAAUCGAACCAUC
RNAcentral lists this ribosomal RNA (741 nucleotides) under Vittatidera zeaphila. RNAcentral's name for it is "eukaryotic LSU rRNA". It matches the Rfam family "Eukaryotic large subunit ribosomal RNA", at positions 367 to 944 of the family's 3401-position model. Lineage: Eukaryota; Metazoa; Nematoda; Chromadorea; Rhabditida; Heteroderidae. The record is from RNAcentral.